AUUGAACGCUGGCGGCAUGCCUUACACAUGCAAGUCGAACGGCAGCGGACCUUCGGGUGCCGGCGAGUGGCGAACGGGUGAGUAAUAUAUCGGAACGUACCUUUCAGUGGGGGAUAACGUAGCGAAAGUUACGCUAAUACCGCAUAUUCUGUGAGCAGGAAAGCAGGGGAUCGCAAGACCUUGCGCUGAUUGAGCGGCCGAUAUCAGAUUGGCUAGUUGGUGAGGUAAAGGCUCACCAAGGCGACGAUCUGUAGCGGGUCUGAGAGGAUGAUCCGCCACACUGGAACUGAGACACGGUCCAGACUCCUACGGGAGGCAGCAGUGGGGAAUUUUGGACAAUGGGCGCAAGCCUGAUCCAGCCAUGCCGCGUGAGUGAAGAAGGCC
Molecule: ribosomal RNA, 384 nt
Filed under: uncultured bacterium
Lineage: Bacteria
Description: bacterial SSU rRNA
Rfam family: Bacterial small subunit ribosomal RNA
Source: RNAcentral